Amphiprion ocellaris (clown anemonefish) is the source of this 2371-nucleotide long non-coding RNA. RefSeq lists it as uncharacterized. The transcript is spliced from 2 exons. The record is from RefSeq and is a predicted model, not a curated record. NCBI's taxonomy places the organism in Eukaryota, Metazoa, Chordata, Actinopteri, Pomacentridae.
GAUCCCUGAGGAAGGAUCAAAGGUGAAUGAUGUGACAUGAUGACAAAUAAAAGCCUCUUUGUCAGGAGUUAACUAGUAGUGAUCUACUUUUCCUAAGUUUACUCAACAAAAAACAGUUAAUCUGUGAUGGUAAAUGAUUUGAAUCAAAUUCUGUCGUAAUUUUAGACAUAUUAUCCCUUGAGUCAAUAAAAAAAAUGAAGCCAAAUAGUGUCAGUAUUUUGGCCCUGGCGCUUUCUCUGUUUUUUUAAACAGUUUUUAUUUCAGCUUCAACAACAUACAUUCAUAUUUACAGUUUUACCUGCUAUUUGUAUUUUUUCCAGCUGCAUCUAAAUGGUUUAUGGUUAAUUUAACAAAGUAAGAACAGGAACUUUUGCUUUAUAUUAACAGAAAUUUCAAAAUAAAAAUAAUGUAUUUUUAAAAUACCUUUAGUAGUGUGGAUGUGUGCGUAUUCACAGACAGGAGAUGAUUCAGUAAGUGUAGAAAAAUUCUGAUCAUUUCACUGUAUUAUGAUGGAUAUUGCAGGGCUCCAUUCUAUUAAUGAAUAUCUUGUUGGAUUCUCAGGGGCCGUGUUAUUUGUCUCAUCUGGUCACAUGUUGUUGUUGGGGAGUGAAGUUUGAACCACUUAGUAUAUUUGUAGAGGACAUAUUUUAGCUCUUCCUUCAGUGCCUUUUGAUAUUAAACCUAGUAGUGCCUCCUUUGUAUCUUUGGUGAAAUUCUUGUGGAAUACAUCUGAAAGCAUACUUGAUACGCUCAUCUACACACUGACUGCAUCUCACUACCAGCUAUAUAUGUAGUAGAUUUAAUACCAGAGCCUUACACCAUAACAGGAAACUGAUGAAGCAGUUUGUCAUGUUGUCUAAUUCACUCUGUAUUCAUUAUGCAUCAUUUUGUAUGUAUCGUCUAUCUUAUCAUGCAUGUAUGCCAGUGUGUGUUAUAUGACUCCUUGUCCCCCAUGCAUGGGUUUUCUCCAGGUACUCCAGCUUCCUGCCACAGUCCAAAAAUAUGCUCAAGUCAAGUGAUGAUUCGAAACUGUCCGGUCUGCAGCUGUUCCUUCAGCUGGGAGAUGGCCAUCCUCACAGGUCCAAAGGAGAUGUGUGGACUGACUGUCAGAGAGCUGCUUGCCUCAGGGACUGGACGACCAAAUGACUGACACAUCUAGUGCAGAGGAAACAGCAGUCCUCAGUGCUGAGCUCAAUGUUUCUUAUCUUUUAAUGCCAAAUUCAAGACACUGAAACGCAUAAAGUUGGAGUAUUUCAAAUUUAAAAUUCUAUUCUGGGGGCACCCCUGUAGUUCAACAGGUUGACCGAGUGACCCAUAAGAGGGCUAUAGUCCCUGGCACAGCGGUCAUGGGUUUGAGUCCAACCCAUGACCAUUUACCGAAUGUCUUUCCCCCACUCUUCUACCCACGUUUCCUCUCUCUCUCCACUGUGCACUAUAAUAAAGGCCAAAAAAAUAAUUUUAUUCAUUCUGACCCUCAGUAUAUUGUAAUUCAAGUAUUCUGAGAGGAAGCUAUACUUCUUCACCUCCUCUUGGCUCUGUUUUCAGACUUAAGAAAAUCUAGCACACAAGUGUAGAAUUCGGCCAAUCACAAGGGUUUUCACUCAGAGAAGUUAAAUAUUAUGAAGAGCUACAAAGUCCAUGGCAGUAGUAGAAUGUGGAGGCGCAAAAAGGUUGACAGAGGACUCGACCUCAGGAGAGUGAUCCCAUGUGGAGACACAAAUGAAUGUUGUCUUUAAUCUUGACUAUGUCUAAGCACAGGCUCACCUGGUAAUAGAACAGAGGGCUGUGUUUUCAGUCUUUGGCAUUGUUUUUUUUUUUUUUUUUUUUUUUUGCCUUUUGCAGAUUUCUGCCUACUCCAGCUUUAAGCACGUCCAGGCAUUAUUCUCUCACCUGCGCGAUCAGCUGCUGAUCCUGAGCGUGGAAAACUCCCUCCAGCUCAGCGUCUCUCCUCCUCAGCUCUGAGAUCUGCCGCUCCAGAUGCUGGAGGUGGUUUUCAGCUCGAGUCAGUUCAGCCUUCUCCUGAGCCCUGAUCAGCUCCUUCAUCUCAACACGACGGUGCUCCAAAAACUCCAUCAGCUCUGAGAAGAUCCUGCUGCUGUCCUUCACCGCUGCUUUGGCCAUACGCUGAAGAAAGCACAACACUGUCAUUCCAUCUGACCACAGGUGUAACAAACUAUACCAGCUAUUUAUGUCAUCUAUGUCAUUUUUUAGGGGUCCACAAUAACAUCAGCAUCAUCUUUGGUAUCAGUCAAUAAAGAUUUUAAAAUGAAAAAUUGGCCAAAAAAUUACAUUGACAAGUAGAUACUCUGUCAGGUGAAAAGUUUACAUUUUUUUAAUUAUAUAAAAAAUAAAUGUUUAUUUUAAUAUGUAA